GGACAAGCUUCACGGACACAGAGUCCUCAAGCAGGCCUGGCGCAGCAGUGGACGGCCACCUGCCUCCCAGCUCCGGCUGUCUGUCUACACCAAGUAAGCUGGGUCCUGAUCCUGGAGCUCUUGGAGGGACAGGGGAAGGACCGGUGGUGACGAGAAGCUGAAUCCCAGCCCAUGCACUGCUUGCCAAGCUGAGUGCCCCAGUGUCUGUGUGCAUUCACUUCAAGAUGUACUCCUCAAGACCCCAGGAGACCUGGCUGCUGCCCAGAAGUCCAGGCUCAGACUGAGCUCUCUGACGGCAAGGACUUGAUCUCUGGAGUAUCCUUGGUGCCUGGAACGUUACCCGGCCGUAUGUGGUGGGCAAUUGAUUAGAUAUCUGCAGAAUGAAAGAAUCAAGGCAGCCUUUCUCAACACUCAUAUUUGAUCAGAGAUUUACCUGGAUCCUCUCAUUUAUUUUAUUUAAUUCUACUUCAGCAAUCUUGGAUGAUUAUAAGUUUGUAUUAUUCUGAAGUUCAAUUGAUCUAAAUUUUUAUACUUCUGAGAUUCUGUAGAACUCCACAAAUCAUAAUAAGCAAAUGUUUGUUGAGAUAUUUCUGUGUCUUGGCUCAUAGGCUCCUAAGCAACCACGUUGUUGUGGCUGUUGAUUAGUCGCUAAGUCGUGUCUAACUCUUUGCGACCCCAUGGACUGUAGCCCACCAGGUCCUCUGUCAGUGGAAUGUCCCAGGCAAGAAGACUUGG
Molecule: long non-coding RNA, 735 nt
Organism: Dama dama (fallow deer)
Lineage: Eukaryota; Metazoa; Chordata; Mammalia; Artiodactyla; Cervidae
Exons: 3
Source: RefSeq, a predicted model, not a curated record